Molecule: non-coding RNA, 1236 nt
Organism: Neolamprologus brichardi
Lineage: Eukaryota; Metazoa; Chordata; Actinopteri; Cichliformes; Cichlidae
Source: RefSeq, a predicted model, not a curated record
GACAGGAUGCUCGCCUCCUCUCUCCAUCCUUCACCCCGUUUCUCUGCUGUCUCUGUUGGAGAAAUGACGGUGUUGGGGCUUGCUCUUCUUUGACUUGUUGCUAGAAAAACAUUAACUUAACUGGGGUUUUCUUGGCCAGGCAACAGGUGUGGAAGGAUUACUUUUCUCUGAGCACAGCCUACUUGCCAUUUUGAGGAAGGUUUUUCUUCUUCAUUAAAUUAAAAGUGGAUUUGCAAUUUUUUUCACCUCUCUGGUUGCUAAAUUUGUUAAAUCUGCUAAAAGUUGGAAGACUUUAAGCAAAAUAAAAAGAAGACAAGGAGGUGCAGGUUGAGGGGUGAUGACAAACCUCAGCAUCAGCAGUAUGGCAGGACCACAGCGACGUACCAAUGAGCAAAAACGCGUCUCUUUGCUUAAAAACUAACAAAAUGGCAAUUAUACAACUUCAAAAGACUAGGACUUCAGUGCUUGGAGAAUAAUUUGUCUGAACGUUUAACCCUUUAACAGAGAGGGAACAGUGACAUCAUCAUCUGCUCCUGCAUGGAAAUCCACCUGCUGUGUUGCAGUGAAGACAUCCAAGAAAUAAGGACAAACAUCUUGUGGCGGUCAACGCUGAAGCUAAAAGCAAAAAAAGGGCUCCUUCAUGGUGCUGAAGUACUUCCCAAAGACUUUCACUGAUCUGAAGUGAAGCUUGAAAAUGAAGAACUGCAUCUCAUCAUCAUCAACAUCAUCUGCCACCUCAAGACAACAGGAUUACUGAACACACAAACUCAGGAGUUUUGAUGGCUAAAAACCACAUAAAUGUUGCUCAGGUUCCUUUAAACUGUUUCACUAACUGCUAACUCAUCCACUGAGACACUGAACAAACUACUUGUAUCCUUCCGGGUUUCUGGAGAUAAUGUAUGAUUAUGGAUGUCACACGCUGCCUUAUCAAAAAUUGAACUGCAUGAUUCAAGCUACAUUAUCCAUGCUUUCUCUGUCACUCCCACAUCUUUAACUUGUUAACAUUCUCUUCCUAUUCAGCGCCACAAUAAACAAAUAGUUUUGAUGCGGUUGAGGAGCUGGCGAGCUUUAACACAGCCAGCACAAAGCCUCGCUUAUAAUACACAAGUUGUUGCAUUGACAGGAGUUAUUAGGGCAAUACAUAUGUCAAUACACACCCUCAGUUAAAUCUACACCACCUGGAAUCUUAACAUGUUGUUAACCUUCUGUAAAUACUAUAAAGCUUCACUUGGAUAA